RNAcentral lists this unclassified non-coding RNA (332 nucleotides) under soil metagenome. RNAcentral describes it as "partial contains 5.8S ribosomal RNA, internal transcribed spacer 2, and large subunit ribosomal RNA". The stretch from base 1 to 121 matches the Rfam family "5.8S ribosomal RNA", at positions 35 to 154 of the family's 154-position model. The record is from RNAcentral.
GAUGAAGAACGUAUCGAAAUGCGAUAAGUAAUGCGAAUUGCAGAAUUUCCGUGAGUCAUCGAAUCUUUGAACGCACAUUGCGCCCCCUGGUAUUCCGGGGGGCAUGCCUGUUCGAGCGUCAUUUCACCACUCAAGCCUCGCUUGGUAUUGGGCAACGCGGUCCGCCGCGUGCCUCAAAUCGUCCGGCUGGGUCUUCUGUCCCCUAAGCGUUGUGGAAACUAUUCGCUAAAGGGUGUUCGGGAGGCUACGCCGUAAAACAACCCCAUUUCUAAGGUUGACCUCGGAUCAGGUAGGGAUACCCGCUGAACUUAAGCAUAUCAAUAAGCGGAGGA